UACGAAGGGGGCUAGCGUUGUUCGGAAUUACUGGGCGUAAAGCGCACGUAGGCGGCUUUCUAAGUCGGGGGUGAAAUCCUGGAGCUCAACUCCAGAACUGCCUUCGAUACUGGAAAGCUCGAGUCCGGGAGAGGUGAGUGGAACUGCGAGUGUAGAGGUGAAAUUCGUAGAUAUUCGCAAGAACACCAGUGGCGAAGGCGGCUCACUGGCCCGGUACUGACGCUGAGGUGCGAAAGCCAGGGGAGCGAACGGG
RNAcentral lists this ribosomal RNA (253 nucleotides) under uncultured bacterium. RNAcentral's name for it is "partial 16S ribosomal RNA". It matches the Rfam family "Bacterial small subunit ribosomal RNA", at positions 524 to 776 of the family's 1533-position model. The record is from RNAcentral.